UACGUAGGUGGUGAGCGUUGUCCGGAAUUACUGGGUGUAAAGGGAGCGUAGGUGGGAGUGCAAGUUGAAUGUUAAAUCUAUCUGCUCAACCGAUAGCCGAGUUCAAAACUGCAUUUCUUGAGUGAAGUAGAGGUUGGCGGAAUUCCUAGUGUAGCGGUGAAAUGCGUAGAUAUUAGGAGGAACACCAGUGGCGAAGGCGGCCAACUGGGCUUUUACUGACGCUGAGGCUCGAAAGCGUGGGGAGCAAAUAGGAUUAGAUACCCUGGUAGU
RNAcentral lists this ribosomal RNA (270 nucleotides) under uncultured prokaryote. RNAcentral describes it as "partial 16S ribosomal RNA". It matches the Rfam family "Bacterial small subunit ribosomal RNA", at positions 524 to 794 of the family's 1533-position model. The record is from RNAcentral.